AGAGUUUGAUCCUGGCUCAGGACGAACGCUGGCGGCGUGCUUAAUACAUGCAAGUCGAACGGAGUUAAGCGCUGGUCUGAUGCUAGCUUGCUAUUGGAUAUCCUUGCGUAACUUAUUGGUGGACGGGUGAUUAACGCGUGAGUAACCUGCCUCUCAGUGGGGAAUAACGCCCUGAAAAGAGCGCUAAUACCGCAUAACACAUAUUGACCGCAUGAUCGGUAUGUCAAAGAUUUAUCGCUGAUAGAUGGACUCGCGUCCGAUUAGCUACUUGGUGAGGUAACGGCCCACCAAGGCGACGAUCGGUAUCCGGACUGAGAGGUUGAACAGCCACAUUGGAACUGACACACAGGCCACACUCCUACGGGAGGCAGCAUGGGGGGAUAUUGCACAAUGGGGGAAACCCUGACGCAUCAACGCCGCGUGGAGGAUGACGGCUUUCGGAUUGUAAACUCCUGUGUUAAGGGACGAACUAACACGGUACCUUAUGAAUAAGCUCCGGGUAACUACGUGCCAGCAGCCGCGGUAAUACGUAUGGAUCAAGCGUUGUCCGGAUCUACUGGGUGUAAAGGGUGCGUAAGCGGCUUGGUAAGUCAGAUGUGAAAUGUAAAGGCUCAACCUCUGACCUGGAUCUGAAACUAUUGAGCUUGACUGAUGUACAGGCAGGCGGAAUGCCCUGUGUAGCGGUGAAAUGCGUAGAGAUAGGGAGGAACACCAGUGGCGAAGGCGGCCUGAUGGGCAUUAACUGACGAUGAGGCACGUAAGCGUGGGUAGCAGACAGGAUUAGAUACGUUGGUAGUCCACGCUGUAAACGAUGAUUACUAGGUGUGGGUGGACUGACCCCAUCCGUGCCGCAGUUAACACAAUAAGUAAUCCACCUGGGGAGUACGGCGGCAAGGUUGAAACUCAAAGGGAUUGACGGGGGCCCGCACAAGCAGUGGAGUAUGUGGUUUAAUUAGAAGCGACGCGAAGAACGUGACCAGGUCUUGACAUCGAGUGACGAUUAUAGAGAUAGGAUUUUCGUUCGGGACACGAAGACAGGUGGUGCAUGGUUGUCGUCAGCUCGUGUCGUGAGAUGUUGGGUUAAGUCCCGCAACGAGCGCAACCCUUGCUAUUAGUUGGUACGCAAGAGCACUCUAAUAGGACUGCCGUUGACAAGGACGGAGGAAGGUGGGGACGACGUCAAAUCAUCAUGCCCCUUAUGACCUGGGCUACACACGUACUACAAUGGCCGUAAACAGAGGGAAGCAAUACAGCGAGGUGGAGCAAACCCCUAAACGCGGUCUCAGUUCAGAUGGCAGGCUGCAACCCGCCUGCAGGAAGUGGGAUUGGUUGGUAAUGGCGGAUCAGCAUGCCGCGGUGAAUAAGUUCCCGGGCCUUGACACACCGCCCGUCA
This 1393-nucleotide ribosomal RNA is filed under the name uncultured bacterium. RNAcentral describes it as "16S ribosomal RNA". It matches the Rfam family "Bacterial small subunit ribosomal RNA". The record is from RNAcentral.